RNAcentral lists this ribosomal RNA (531 nucleotides) under Stachybotrys sp. F10. RNAcentral describes it as "eukaryotic LSU rRNA". The stretch from base 152 to 305 matches the Rfam family "5.8S ribosomal RNA". Lineage: Eukaryota; Fungi; Ascomycota; Sordariomycetes; Hypocreales; Stachybotryaceae. The record is from RNAcentral.
UACACUCCCAACCCUUAUGUGAACCGUACCUAUCGUUGCUUCGGCGGGAACGCCCCGGCGCCCUGCGCCCGGAUCCAGGCGCCCGCCGGAGACCCCAAACUCUUGUGUUUUUUUCAGUAUUCUCUGAGUGGCAAACGCAAAAAUAAAUCAAAACUUUUAACAACGGAUCUCUUGGCUCUGGCAUCGAUGAAGAACGCAGCGAAAUGCGAUAAGUAAUGUGAAUUGCAGAAUUCAGUGAAUCAUCGAAUCUUUGAACGCACAUUGCGCCCGUUAGCAUUCUAGCGGGCAUGCCUGUCCGAGCGUCAUUUCAACCCUCAGGGUCCCCGUUCCGGCGGGGAACCUGGUGUUGGGGAUCGGCCCGCCCCGCGCGGCGCCGUCCCCCAAAUUCAGUGGCGGUCUCGCUGCAGCCUCCCCUGCGUAGUAGUUACAACCUCGCAUCGGAGCUCAGCGCGGCCACGCCGUAAAACCCCCGACUUUCUGAACGUUGACCUCGGAUCAGGUAGGAAUACCCGCUGAACUUAAGCAUAUCAA